This 465-nucleotide ribosomal RNA is filed under the name uncultured bacterium. RNAcentral's name for it is "partial 16S ribosomal RNA". It matches the Rfam family "Bacterial small subunit ribosomal RNA", at positions 338 to 795 of the family's 1533-position model. The record is from RNAcentral.
CCUACGGGUGGCAGCAGUAGGGAAUCUUCCACAAUGGGCGAAAGCCUGAUGGAGCAACGCCGCGUGGGUGAAGAAGGUCUUCGGAUCGUAAAACCCUGUUGUUAGAGAAGAAAGUGCGUGUGAGUAACUGUUCACGUUUCGCCGGUACCUAACCAGACAGCCCCGGCUAACUACGUGCCAGCAGCCGCGGUAAUACGGAGGUGGCAAGCGUUAUCCGGAUUUAUUGGGCGUAAAGGGAACGUAGGCGGGCGUUUAAGUCUGAUGUGAAAGCCUUCGGCUUAACCGGAGUAGUGCAUUGGAAACUGGGAGACUUGAGUGCAGGAGAGGAGGGUGGAACUCCAUGUGUAGCGGUGAAAUGCGUAGAUAUAUGGAAGAACACCAGUGGCGAAGGCGGCUCGCUAGACUGUAACUGACGCUGAGGUUCGAAAGCGUGGGUAGCAAACAGGAUUAGAUACCCCUGUAGUC